CCUUCGAUAGCUCAGUUGGAAGAGCGUGGGACUGUAAUGGAAAACAUAAGAUUGUGCAAUCCCAAGGUCACUGGUUCGACCCCGGUUCGAAGGA
Molecule: non-coding RNA, 94 nt
Organism: Russula brevipes
Lineage: Eukaryota; Fungi; Basidiomycota; Agaricomycetes; Russulales; Russulaceae
Source: the annotation of a GenBank genome assembly